This 459-nucleotide ribosomal RNA is filed under the name uncultured bacterium. Its description in RNAcentral is "partial 16S ribosomal RNA". It matches the Rfam family "Bacterial small subunit ribosomal RNA", at positions 338 to 795 of the family's 1533-position model. The record is from RNAcentral.
CCUACGGGUGGCAGCAGUGAGGAAUAUUGGUCAAUGGGCGCGAGCCUGAACCAGCCAAGUCGCGUGAGGGAAGACGGUCCUAUGGAUUGUAAACCUCUUUUGUCGGGGAGCAAAAGACGCCACGCGUGGCGUUUCGUGAGUACCCUAUGAAAAAGCAUCGGCUAACUCCGUGCCAGCAGCCGCGGUAAUACGGAGGAUGCGAGCGUUAUCCGGAUUUAUUGGGUUUAAGGGGUGCGCAGGGGGAAGAUAAAGUCAGCGGUAAAAUUUUGGGGCUAAACCUUUUAGAGCCGUUGAAACUGGUAGUCUUGAGUGAGCGAGAGGUAGGCGGAAUGCGUGGUGUAGCGGUGAAAUGCAUAGAUAUCACGCAGAACUCCGAUUGCGAAGGCAGCAUACUGGAGUUCAACUGACGCUCAUGCACGAAAGUGUGGGUAUCGAACAGGAUUAGAUACCCCUGUAGUC